Molecule: long non-coding RNA, 7441 nt
Filed under: Brassica napus (rape)
Lineage: Eukaryota; Viridiplantae; Streptophyta; Magnoliopsida; Brassicales; Brassicaceae
Description: long non-coding RNA (BNAP_LNC001636)
Source: RNAcentral
AGACCAUCUCAUCUACACCAUCCAUUCUCUCAAGUUAAUAUUAUCCAUUAGAUUUAGGUUUCAGAUUGUGUAAACCUAUGGAGCUUAUAAAUAAGCAUGUAAUGGCGUUUUGUAAUCUCUUAAGAGAGUAUGGGGGGUUUCCCCAUCUCCUUCAUAAUUAUAAAAGUGUGUUCUUGAUCAGAUUCCCUUAAACUACCCCUUUCUUAGUCUCUAAUCUCUUAAUCUCUCAAAGUCUCUUUGUUUCUGAUUCAAGUUCAUACUAGUUUCAUCAGACCUCUUAUUCAACUAGUUCAAGACCUUAUCUUUGCCUUUAAUGGCUUUUCAUACACAUACACAGCCAGAGCUCUCAAAUCUCACAUGGUAUCAGAGCCAGGUUCAUCAGAACCUGAGCUGAGCUUCCGCAAAUCCACAGCUCUUAUCUCAGCUCAAACCAAACCCUUGAAGACAUUACCAGCCGAGUUCAGCUCUUGAAGAAGAAGAGACUUGAAGCCAUGGAGUGUUAUCCUGUCCCUCAAGCCGUUGCUGUCUGUACCUGAUGGAGAGAGUCUCAUUGGAAGCAGAGGAGGAUGGAGAGGCGUCAUGAACCUCAAGCCAAAGCUCCUUGUCCAAGAGCUUAUCACAUCCGGAUACAAGAAAGAUGAAGCUAAGAUGAAGCCGGUUUGAUGUAUGAAGAAAGGAGGGGCCUUUUGGGUGUGAGAAACAGGAAGGAGGCCGUGGACUGAAGGAGAAGGAGGUGGGUGACGAUCCAGACUCCUAAAUCCAACCAAAUCAUGGCCAGAUUGCCUUUGGAGGCUUAAGGAACCAACCUGGUUCCUUGUGUAAGCGAUUCUUUAAAACCUUCUUGAUAUUGAGCUUGUGUUGUGACUGUGCCUGGUUAUUGUGAUGUGUAUUGAUUGAUAAACCUGAGGAUAAUGUGUGAUUGCUAAAUAAAAUUAGUUGAAUCUGUCCCAGGAUGCUUUAAAGGCUUGUUUAGUGUUUAAAGAGUAAAAUGCUUGCUCCUGUUAAGUAAUGAGUUUGCUAAAUGAAAUGGUAUUGUUUGAAGCUCAUGAACUGAAAACAGAUUGAAAGUAAUGCAUUGUCUGAUGAUAAGUGAUGAUAGUAAUGCUUAGCCUAAGUUAUAAAUGAAAGUGUGAUGGAUUGUAUUGUUGCAUUCAUGAAUUGAAACUGAUUAAAGGUUAGUGCAUACUGUCAAAAGGCUGUCUUACAUUGAAGCAUUAGAUUCAUGUCUAAAUGCUGAGUAAAGAAGCUUUAAAAAUUGCCUAAGUAGCUUGUAUUGAAUCUGUUAUGAUCUUACUUGUGCUUAGAGAGUUUGCUUGCAAAGAUUAGAACUUGAAAAUGUCUAGUUUAAUCUGUUGCAUUGCUUAAAGACAUUGGUGUUCAAACUUGAUGAUGCAUCAAGGGUUGACCCAAUGCACUUGUGUCUUAUCUUUGCUGGAGUUUGAGUGAUGUUUCAGGUUCACAAGAGGUGUUCUUGGUUCACCAUCCAUCCGAGUUGAAAGAGGAAGACUUUGCCCAUUGUGUGGAGCAAUGGAGAGUUGAGAAAGAAGUGGUGAUGCGCCACUGGUGUGAAGUCUCACUGAAGCUCACUUGCAAGCUUGGACCUAUACUCAAUCCAAGCUUGAGGAGGGGAGUUUAGUGAGCUUCCAUGCGAUCCAAGAAGUCCAUUGCAAGCAUCUGAAGAAGGAGCCAUCCGGGCUUAGGCUGUGGCGAGUCUAUUCAAGAGAGUACUCAAACUAAGACAGAGUACUCUUGGCUGUGAGAAGAUGAAGGCUACUCUAUCAAGGCGGCUUCAAGAGUGAGGUGAUUGGAGAGAUAGCUGAAGCUUCCACAAGCAUUCCAUCAAGAUGGCAAGAUCAGAGGAGAGGCUGCAAUGGUGUGUGUGUGAGGAUCAUGAAGCAAUCCAUUCAAGCUUGUUCCUGUGAGAGUCUCAAGCUUGAGGGGGAGUGUUGAAGCUUACAUGAUCCAAGAGAGCUUGGUGGUUAUUCCAGAAGAGGAAGCAACCUGUUGAGAAGUAUGAUGAAGGAUGAAGAAGCAAUGUCCAAGGCGGCUUCAAGUGUUGAGGUGAUUGGAGAGUGGCUGAAGCAUCCUCAUGUAGCUCAAGCAACAAGGUGGUGACUCUAUAAGAAGAAGAAGCAGCCAAGACUCAGUAAGAGAAGUUGUAUCUCCAAGAAGAGGCUGAUCUGGUGUGUCCGAGCACUUCAACCUAACAAAGCAUGUGUAGUCAAUGGACAGGCUGGAACUCCUUUUGAAAUGCUUGGCUGUGCUUUCUCACAUGCUUGCACUAGUGUAAAAGCAUCCUCUCCUUUCCAGCAUCAUACAGGCUGUCAAAGUGCUCCCUUAUCCUUCCUUAUCCUCCCUUAUCCUCUUUGGUCGAGUUUCCUCUCUUCUCUUCACUAAGUUACCUUCUCAUCCCAUCAGAUAACUUCCCCAAGUAGUUACUGUGGUUAAAAUAAAGUUACCACAGUAAAACUCUAAAGUUACUGUCUCACCAACUUAACACUCCCCCUCAAGCUUGACCAUAUGGAACAAGUCAAGCUUGGAUUGCCAUGAGAUCUUCCUGUUAACUUGAAGAAAGGAAUGGAGGAGCUAGAGGUGUUGAGUUGAGAUGGAUCUUGUACAAAGAUAGGGCAAGAGCUUUAGAGAUUGCCUAUCAAGAGUGAUGAGGAGUCUAAAGGUGUCCAGAAGUGAUCUGAUGGAUGUUCUAAGCAAGGUCAAAGUCUAGGAGAGAUUUAGAAGAGUGUUGAGGAGCAAAUGGGCGAGUGUGCAAAGAUAGGGCGAGGCUGUAUGGCCAUGUACGGAUCUGUACGGACCGGUACGACCCGAGAGAUCACAACUCGCCCAUUUGAGAUGUUUUGAGAUUGUGCAAAGUCCGGGACAAGAUGUGCAAGCUUAGGGCGUGAUCAGAACAUGUCAAGGAGGCUUUGUGCAAUCUUAGGGUGUUGGGAGAAGGCCCUGGUCGUUUGGAAUCAAGAAGGCAUCAAGAAGAUGCUUUGUGGAGGCAAACAACCAAUGGGAGCUUCCUUGUGUGUGAUUGGCUAGUUCUGGUCUUGGACAGGCUGUCUCUUGCUGUAAAGAGAAGGGAGCCACGACCAUGAACCUGGACAGAUGCAUGGGAAGAUUAGGAGGAGCCUAAGGAGAGCCAAUCACAAGCAAGGAGCCAGCUUGCCUUGGUUUGAAUUAAAGUGAGCCAGCUUAGCUUAUCCAAUCAGCACACAUCACUCAGAUUACAACAAGACCAACUCAUCCUCACCAUCCAUUCCUCUUAAGUUAUUUCUAUCCAUUAGAUUUAGGUUUCUAAUGUUGCAAACAUGUAAAGCCUAUAUAAGGCAUGUGUAUGGACGAAAUUGAAAGCUCUCUUAAGAGAGUAUGGGGGUUUUCCCCAUCUCCUUCAUAAAUAUAAAAGUGUGUUCUUGAUCAGAUUCCCUUAAUCUACCCCUUUCUUAGUCUCUAAUCUCUUAAUCUCUCUAAGUCUCUUUGUUUCUGAUUCAAGUUCAUACUAGUUUCAUCAGACCUCUUAUUCAACUAGUUCAAGACCUUAUUCUUUGCCUCUAAUGGCUUCUCAUACACAUACACAGCCAGAGCUCUCAAAUCUCAUAUGGUAUCAGAGCCAGGUUCAUCAGAACCUGAACUGAGCUUCCGCAAAUCCACAGCUCUCAUCUCAGCUCAAAUCAAACCCUAGAAGACAUUACCAGCCAAGUUCAGUUCUUGAAGAAGAAAGAAGCUUGAAGCAUGGAGUGUUCUCCUUAUCUCUCAACCGUGCCUGUCUUUACCUGAUGGAGAGUGUCUCUUUGGAAGCAGAGGAGGAUGGAGAGGCGUCAUGAACCUCAAGCCAAAGCUCCUUGUCCAAGAGCUUAUCACAUCCGGAUACAAGAAAGAUGAAGCUAAGAAAAGCCGGUUUGAAGUAUGAAGAAAGGAGGGGUCUUUGGGUGUGAGAAACAAGAAGGAGGCCAUGGACUGAAGGAGAAGGAGUUGGGUGACGACCUAGACUCUUGAAUCCAACCAUAUCAUGGCCAGAUUGCCUUUGGAGGCUUAAGGAACCAACCUGGUUCCUUGUGUAAGCGAUUCUUUAAAACCUUCUUGAUAUUGAGCUUGUGGUGUGACUGUGCCUGGUUAUUGUGAUGUGUAUUGAUUGAAAAACCUGAGGAUAAUGUGUGAUUGCUAAAUAUAAUUAGUUGAAUCUGUCCCAGGAUGCUUUAAAGGCUUGUUUAGUGUUUAAAGAGUAAAAUGCUUGCUCCUGUUAAGUAAUGAGUUUGCUAAAUGUGAAAUGAUAUAGUUUGAAGCUCAUGAACUGAAAACAGAUUGAAAGUAAUGCAUUGUCUGAUGUUAAGUGAUGAUAGUAAUGCUUAGCCUAAGUUAUAAAUGAAUGUGUGAUGAAUUGUAUUGUUGCAUUCAUGAAUUAAAACUGAUUAAGGUUAGUGCAUACUGUCAAAUGGCUGUCUUACAUUGAAGCAUUAGAUUCAUGUCUAAAUGCUGAAUAAAGAAGCUUUAAAAUUGCCUAAGUAGCUUGUAUUGAAUCUGUUAGGAUCAUGCUAGUGCUUAGAGAGUUUGCUUGCAAAGAUUAGAACUUGAAAAUGUCUAGUUUAAUCUGUUGCAUUGCUUAAAGACAUUGGUGUUCAAACUUGAUGAUGCAUCAAGGGUUGACCCAAUGCAUUUGUGUCUUAUCUUUGCUGGAGUUUGAGUGAUGUUUCAGGUUCACAAGAGGUGUUCUUGGUUCACCAUCCAUCCGAGUUGAAAGAGGAAGACUUUGCCCAUUGUGUGGAGCAAUGGAGAGUUGAGAGAGAAGUGGUGAUGCGCCACUGGUGUGAAGUGUCACUGAAGCUCACUUGCAAGCUUGGACCUAUACUCAAUCCAAGCUUGAGGAGGGGAGUUUAGUGAGCUUCCAAGCGAUCCAAGAAGUCCAUUGCAACCAUCUGAAGAAGGAGCCAUCCGGGCUUAGGCUGUGGCGAGUCUAUUCAAGAGAGUACUCAAACUAAGACAGAGUACUCUUGGCUGUGAGAAGAUGAAGGCAACUCUAUCAAGGCGGCUUCUAGUGUGAAGUGAUUGGAGAGAUAGCUGAAGCUUCCACAAGCAUUCCACGAAGAUGGCAAGAUCAGAAGAGAAGCGGCAAUGGUGUGUGUGUGAGGAUCAUGAAGCAAUCCAUUCAAGCUUGUUCCUGUGAGAGUCUCAAGCUUGAGGGGGAGUGUUGAAGCUUACAUGAUCCAAGAGAGCUUGGUGGUUAUUCUAGAAGAGGAAGCAACCUGUUGAGAAGUAUGAUGAAGGAUGAAGAAGCAAUGUCCAAGGCGGCUUCAAGUGUUGAGGUGAUUGGAGAGUGGCUGAAGCAUCCUCAUGUAGCUCAAACAACAAGGUGGCGACUCUAUAAGAAGAAGAAGCAGCCAAGACUCAGUAAGAGAAGUUGUAUCUCCAUGAAGAGGCUGAUCUGGUGUGUCCGAGCACUUCAACCUAACAAGAGGUUAGGUGAAAGGGGGAGAGACCAAGAUUAGGCAGUAAGGAGAGUACAAGGCGUGGGAUGAUUGUAGAGGCCAUGAUCCAGAGUCUUUGUGUCCCUUACAUUGUUGGUAAGGCACAAAGACUCACUGGCCAAUCCCUAGGCCUUGGAGACUUUACUCUUUUUCCCUCAUCAAGGUUUUGUCCCAAAGGGUUUUCCUUGGUGAGGUUUUUAAUGAGGAAGUUCUUCAAGGUUCCAAGCUUGACUUAGGAUCAGCUAGAGUCAAGCUUGAGGGGGAGUGUUAACUUGAAGAGAAGAAGUGGAGAAGCAAAAGUGAUGAGUUGAGUUGGUGAUUGUGCAAAGACAUGGCAAGAUCUUCAGAGAUUGUAUGUUAAGGCUUUGGGAGAGUCUUAAGGCUUCAGAAGUGGUCUGAUGAGUGUGCAAAGAUAGGGUUAAGUCCAGGAGGGACUUAGACACCAUUUAGAGAAGAUUUGGGUCAGACAGUAACUCCAAAGUUACCACAGUAACUUUGGAGAGUUACCACAGUAAGAUUGGAGAAGUUUGGGCAAGUUGGUGUAAAAGUGAAUAGUGAAUCACUAGUCACUAUUCAGGUUGACUAUUCACUAUUUGGAUCACUAUUCAGGAUGUGAGGCACCAAGGUUUGAAUCUAGUCAAAGGGAAUCAAGAAGAUGCUGUGUGGAGCUGAUUGGUUACUUUGGGGCAUGGACAGGCUGGCUGUUGCUGUAAAGGAAGAGCAGCCACGACCAUGCACCUAGACUGAUCUGUAGACAGAUACAAAGGAGCCUAAGAAAUGCACCUAGACUGAUCUGUGGACAGAUACAAAGGAGCCUAAGAAGAACCAAUCAAAGCUCAGCCUUGGUUUGAAUUAAAGUGAGCCAGCUUAGCUCAUCCAAUCAGCACACAUCACUCAGAUCACAACAAGACCAACUCAUCCUCACCAUCCAUUCCCCUUAAGUUAUUUCUAUCCAUUAGAUAUAGGUUUAUGAGUUGCAAUGAUGUAAAGCCUAUAUAAGGAUGUGUCUUGGACGUUUUGUAACUCUUAAGAGAGUAUGGGGGUUUUCCCCAUCUCCUUCAUAAAUAUAAAAGUGUGUUCUUGAUCAGAUUCCCUUAAUCUACCCCUUUCUUAGUCUCUAAUCUCUUAAUCUUUCUAAGUCUCUUUGUUUCUGAUUCAAGUUCAUACUAGUUUCAUCAGACCUCUUAUUCAACUAGUUCAAGACCUUAUUCUUUGCCUUUAAUGGCUUCUCAUACACAUACACAGCCAGAGCUCUCAAAUCUCAUAUGGUAUCAGAGCCAGGUUUAUCAGAACCUGAGCUGAGCUUCCGCAAAUCCACAGCUCUCAUCUCAGCUCAAACUAAACCCUUGAAGACAUUACCAGCUGAGUUCAGCUCUUGAAGAAGAAGAGACUUGAAGCCAUGGAGUGUUAUCCUGUCCCUCAAGCCAUUGCUGUCUGUACCUGAUGGAGAGAGUCUCAUUGGAAGCAAAGUAGGAUGGAGAGACGUCAUGAACCUCAAGCCAAAACUCCUUGUCCAAGAGCUUGUCACAUCCGGAUACAAGAAAGAUGAAGCUAAGAGAAGCCGGUUUGAAGUAUGAAGAAAGGAGGGGUCUUUGGGUGUGAGAAACAAGAAGGAGGCCAUGGACUGAAGGAGAAGGAGUUGGGUGACGACCUAGACUCUUGAAUCCAGCCAUAUCAUGGCCAGAUUGCCUUUAGAGGCUUAAGGAACCAACCUGGUUCCUUGUGUAAGCGAUUCUUUAAAACCUUCUUGAUAUUGAGCUUGUGUUGUGUUGUUGCCUGGUUAUUGUGAUGUGUAAUGAUUGAAAACCCUGAGGAUAAUGUGUGAUUGCUAAAUAUAAUUAGUUGAAUCUGUCCCAGGAUGCUUUAAAGGCUUGUUUAGUGUUUAAAGAGUAAAAUGCUUGCUCCUGUUAAGUAAUGAGUUUGCUAAAGGUGAAAUGAUAUUGUUUGAAGCUCAUGAACUGAAAACAGAUUGAAAGUAAUGC